This is a non-coding RNA of Nothobranchius furzeri (turquoise killifish), 2630 nucleotides long. Lineage: Eukaryota; Metazoa; Chordata; Actinopteri; Cyprinodontiformes; Nothobranchiidae. The record is from RefSeq and is a predicted model, not a curated record.
ACUUAGAACCGGUUAGUAUCUGGUGUGACCACCAUUUGCCUCAUGCAGUGCAACACAUCUUCUUCGCAUAGAGUUUAUCAGAUUGUCAAUUGUGGCCUGUGGAAUGUUGGUCCACUCUUCUUCAAUGGCUGUACCAAGUUGUUGGAUAUUAGUGGGAACUGGUACACGCUGUCGUAUACGCCAGUCAAGCACAUCCCAAACAUGCUCAAUGGGUGACAUGUCCACUGAGUAUGCUGGCCAUGCAAGAACUGGGACAUUUUCAGCUUCCAAGAAUUGUGUACAGAUCCUUGCAACAUGGGGCCGUGCAUUGUCUUGCUGAAACAUGAGGUGAUGUUCAUGGAUGUACGGCACAACAAUGGGCCUCAGGAUCUCAUCACGGUAUCUCUGUGCAUUCAAAAUGCCAUCAAUAAAAUGCACCUGUGUUCUUCGUCCAUAACAGAUGCCUGCCCAUACCAUAACCCCACCACCACCAUGGGACACUCGAUCCACAACAUUGACAUCAGCAAAGCGCUCACCCACACAAUGCCACACACGCUGUCUGCCAUCUGCCCUGAACAAUGUAAACCAAGAUUCAUCCGUGAAGAGAACACCUGUCCAACAUGCCAGACACCAUCGAAUGUGGGCAUUUGCCUACUCAAGUCUAUUACGGCGACGAGCUGGAGUCAGGUCAAGACCCUGAUGAGGACGACGAGCAUGCAGUUGAGCUUCCCUGAGACUGUUUCUGAGUGUGUGUGCAGAAAUUGUUUGGUUAUGCAAACCAAUUGUUUCAGCAGCUGUCUAAGUGGCUGGUCUCAGACAAUCUUGGAGGUGAACCUGCUGGAUGUGGAGGUCCUGGGCUGGUGUGGUUACACGUCGUCUGCGGUUGUGAGGCCGGUUGGAUGUACUGCCAUAUUCUCUGAAACGCCUUUGGAGAUGGCUUAUGGUGGAGAAAUGAACAUUCAAUGCACGAGCAACAGAUCUGGUUGACAUACCUGCUGUCAGUAUGCCAACUGCACGCCCCCUCAAUGCUUGUGGCAUCUGUGGCAUUUUGCUGUGAGACAAAACUGCACAUUCCAGGGUGGCCUUUUAUUGUGGGCAGUAUUAGGUACACCUGUGCACUACUCAUGAUGUCGGAUCAGCAUCUUGAUGUGGCACACCUGUGAGGUGGGAUGGAUUAUCACAGCAAAGCAGAAGUGCUCACUAUCACACAUUUAGACUGAUUUGUGAACAAUGUUUGAGAGAAAUGGUAAUAUUGUGUGUCUGGAAUGAAUUUUAAAUCUUUAAGUCCAUCUCAUGAAAAAUCAGAAACAAAUGUAUUGCGUUCAUAUUUUUGUUGAGUAUAAAUACGUGUCUAAUUGUGCUGCAGACACGUGUAGUCAAUAGUUUUGAACUAUAGUGCAUUUAAAAUUUUAAUUUUCUGCCUAAAACUGUCAGUGUUGUGCCGUUGUCAGGUAUAAAUCUCUGCACUGCAUUUGAAUUUAAAUCUGCCAUCGCUAUUGGCUAAGAGGUACCCUAGAACGUUAGCUGGUACCAUAUGAUGUCACAAUGUCGUUGUGAGCCUGUGUGUGUGUGUGUAUUUGUUAGCGGCUUCGCCCUCUCGGUCUGCUAGGCAAAAGCAUUUUUUGCAUUUUUCAAACAGGAAGUGGGAGUUGAGUAAAAAUCUGGUAGGGGGUGACUUGCUCUUUAAUAUCUGAUUAGCUUGUGUAUGUGUUAUCGGCUCCGUCCUCUUGGUCUGCCAGGCAACAGCAUUUGUAGCAUUUUUCAAGCACUAAGUGUUUGAAGAGAGGAAGUGAGAGAAAGUGAGAGGAAUGAGACCCAGAGCUACGGUCCGUGUUAGCAACUGUAUUUUUGCCAUUCUUGUAAAAACACACCAACUAUUAUUCACGUUCACCUCCACGUGACCUGCGCGCCACUAACGAAACAAAGCAAUAAAACUUCUCUUUCUGCGACCUAAAACAACAGGACUAAGGCCUUUUGUUGGAAAUAUUUGUUUAAAUUUUCUCUUUUCUGCUAAUUCAGCCCUUGGGUCGUACAUUUUCCACGCUAAAACUCUAUAAAAUAUAUUUAAGGAGGCUUAUUUUAAAACAUGUUUCCCAAAAGACAACAUUGUAUGUCUCAUAUGCUGAAAUGUAGCUUUUUGAGUCUGGUCAUCUGCAACACAUCCAUCCUCCACAGACUGAUCUAAAAAGAACAUGAAGAGAAUUUUUCUACAGGAAGUUCUGAAGCAUAAUGACAGAACACAAAGUGGCCUGAAGUAUUUGCAGUGCCCUUCUGGGGAGAAGAAGAUGGAUCCUGUCAGUGAACUGACCACAACACAGCCAAUCUGUUCCCCAUAUGGUCCCUUCAUCAUGGACCAGAACUGGAUCAAAGCUGGAGUCAGACUGGACAGACAACACAAAGCAGGGCACAAACAGAUGGAGAGGCGUGAGGACGGGACUUCAGAGGACCUCUGGUAAAGGAAACAGACACCAUCUGAGUAAACAAAUAAACAAGCAACCAGUCUGCUUCCUCACUCAGCAGGAUGGAGCUUAAAAACUAGACAAACCUUAAAAUAACAUCUGGGAUUCUCCUCCGUCAGACACAAAGUAGAAGUUCUGGAUGGUGGACGUGUUUAGUUGCCCUGCUCAGCCCCAGGAUCCGAGCUCAGGAAA